CCUACGGGUGGCAGCAGUGAGGAAUAUUGGUCAAUGGACGAGAGUCUGAACCAGCCAAGUCGCGUGAAGGAUGACUGCCCUCUGGGUUGUCAACUUCUUUUAUAAAGGAAUACAACGAGGCACGUGUGCCUUUUUGCAUGUACUUUAUGAAUAAGGAUCGGCUACCUCCGUGCCAGCAGCCGCGGUAAUACGGAGGAUCCGAGCGUUAUCCGGAUUUAUUGGGUUUAAAGGGAGCGUAGAUGGGUUGUUAAGUCAGUUGUGAAAGUUUGCGGCUCAACCGUAAAAUUGCAAUUGAUACUGGUAGUCUUGAGUACAGUUGAGGUAGGCGGAAUUCGUGGUGUAGCGGUGAAAUGCUUAGAUAUCACGAAGAACCCCGAUUGCGAAGGCAGCUUACCAAUCUAUAUCUGACGUUGAGGCACGAAAGCGUGGGGAGCAAACAGGAUUAGAUACCCUGGUAGUC
Molecule: ribosomal RNA, 460 nt
Filed under: uncultured bacterium
Lineage: Bacteria
Description: partial 16S ribosomal RNA
Rfam family: Bacterial small subunit ribosomal RNA
Source: RNAcentral